This 323-nucleotide ribosomal RNA is filed under the name Thecofilosea sp. RNAcentral's name for it is "SSU rRNA". The stretch from base 103 to 323 matches the Rfam family "Eukaryotic small subunit ribosomal RNA", at positions 734 to 955 of the family's 1831-position model. Lineage: Eukaryota; Cercozoa; Thecofilosea. The record is from RNAcentral.
GAUUUCUGGUUCGACAUGCCCGACCUAGUGUGGCGACACAUUAAGUGUCGGUGUGUGUCUGCCAUCUUUGCCAGAGAACGGCGCCUCCCUUAAAUGGGCCGGCGUCGCCAUCUGGAUCAUUUACUUUGAAAAAAUUAGAGUGUUUAAAGCAGGCGUUACGCUAUGAAUACAUUAGCAUGGAAUAAUAAUAUAGGACUUUGGUUCUAUUUUGUUGGUUUCUAGGACUGAAGUAAUGAUUGAUAGGGAUAGUUGGGGGUGCUAGUAUUCAGUGGCCAGAGGUGAAAUUCUUGGAUUCACUGAAGACUAACUACUGCGAAAGCAUU